GCCCCGAGAUUCUGCACAGAGACCCAGGGCUGCCCUCAGCAGAGAAGGGAGGCCGCCUGUGGCUCACCCCUGCCCCUCACCUCCACGGAAAUACCCCAGACCUGUUUUCUUUGGAAAUUAUAAUCAACCAGAAAAAGGGUCUGGAGGUGGGAAGUCUUGUCUGCCAGGGCUGUUCUGCUCCACAAAGUCUCUCAGAGAACCAGGCACUUCCCACCUUGCUAUAGAGACACAGCGAGAGAAGGAACAUAGUAGGGGGAGUGGGAGAGGGAGAAGCAGGCCUCCCGCUGAGCAGGGAGCCCGAUGUGGGGCUCGAUCCCAGGACCCUGGGAUCAUGGCCUGGGCCGAAGGCAGACGCUUAACCGACUGAGCCACCUAGGCGUUCCUAAAGGAAGAAGAUAUUGACAAGAAGAGCCCAUUUCCCUCUUAAUUCAGUCUCCCCUUCUUUGCUCUUGCUUUAUUUUUAAAAUUAACAUAGAAUAAAAAUGACUUUUAUCUGCUUUUGGU
Mirounga angustirostris (Northern elephant seal) is the source of this 504-nucleotide long non-coding RNA. RefSeq lists it as uncharacterized. The record is from RefSeq and is a predicted model, not a curated record. Lineage: Eukaryota; Metazoa; Chordata; Mammalia; Carnivora; Phocidae. The transcript is spliced from 3 exons.